UUUCCACUCCCCACUCUUUCCUCCACUCCCACACACUCUCCUCCUUUUUCUCCCCACGAAAUUGCUGCUCCUCCUAGCUUCAUGGCCGGCCAUGGCCAUGGCCAUGAAAAGCUCUCCAUGAUGAAGCUCUCCCCUCCCUCAAGCUCCUCCUCUCCAUGAGAGCAUCCCUCUCCUUUUUCUCCCCAACCCUAGAUGGUUUUCUCUCGUCUUCUUCUUCCUCCCUUGCUAAGUUUGGAUCUUGAUGCAGGUGCAUGUUGGUCCAAGCAUGGAGAAGCUUCACCUAUCCUCAGAUCUGAAGUUCUUGACCAAAAUCCAAAUCGAGUGAUUCAAAGUUCCGCAGAUAGGUAUUGAAAAGGUCUACAACUUGGCGUUGGUCUCAUCCUCAAAUUCUUUACGGAUUUUUCAUGAUCAAGAUCUGGUCAGAUCUGACUUUGUCGAAUUAAACCAGGAGCUUGGAAACGAAUUUUUGAAUGAAACCAAUUGGGGGAUGUUUGGUUUAUACCAUGGUGAUAACCGAGAGAGGCAAUUGCUAAGUUGUGAUACUCUCAUACCUUUACUAGAUGCGAACAAUUCCGGAGAAGAAGAAGAAGUGGAAUCGGACAAGGAUUUUAUUUUUGUUGUUGGGAUUCUUAUAUUGAUGGAGUUGAAAAAGUACAGGGACAAAAUAAGCCAAGGCAAUCCAUCUUUUGAUCUCUUGCUAUUUAUUCUUCUUGUUGUGCUCAUUGCUCCAUUAUAUACUUGGUUCCUUGUAUCAUGUGUGAUUUUUGAUCCUCAAC
Lolium perenne is the source of this 776-nucleotide non-coding RNA. NCBI's taxonomy places the organism in Eukaryota, Viridiplantae, Streptophyta, Magnoliopsida, Poales, Poaceae. The record is from RefSeq and is a predicted model, not a curated record.